AAUAGAUACCCGGGUAGUCCCAGCCUUAAACGAUGCAUACUAGAUGUAGGGAGGCUCAACCCUUUCUGUAUCGGAGUUAACGCAUUAAGUAUGCCGCCUGGGGAGUACGCUCGCAAGGGUGAAACCCAAAGAAUUGACGGGGGCCCGCACAAGCAGUGGAGCAUGUGGUUUAAUUCGAUGCUACGCGAAGAACCUUACCUGGGCUCGAAGUGUAGAGGAAUGUUUUAGAGAUAGAGCAGCUCGAAAGGGUCUCUAUAUAGGUGCUGCAUGGCUGUCGUCAGCUCGUGCCGUGAGGUGUUUGGUUAAGUCCAGCAACGAGCGCAACCCUUAUCGUUAGUUGCCAGCGCGUGAAGGCGGGAACUCUAACGAGACUGCCUAGGUUAACUAGGAGGAAGGUGAGGAUGAUGUCAAGUCCGCAUGGCCUUUAUGUCCAGGGCAACACACGUGCUACAAUGGUCGGUACAGAAGGCAGCGAAGCCGCGAGGUGGAGCAAAUCCUAAAAAGCCGAUCUCAGUUCGGAUUG
Molecule: ribosomal RNA, 523 nt
Filed under: uncultured bacterium
Lineage: Bacteria
Description: bacterial SSU rRNA
Rfam family: Bacterial small subunit ribosomal RNA
Source: RNAcentral